AUUGAACGCUGGCGGCAGGCCUAACACAUGCAAGUCGAGCGGAAACGGCAGUAUUGAAGCUUCGGUGGAUUUACUGGACGUCGAGCGGCGGACGGGUGAGUAACGGCUGGGAACCUGCCCUGACGAGGGGGAUAACCGUUGGAAACGACGGCUAAUACCGCAUAAUGUCUACGGACCAAAGGUGGCCUCUACAUGUAAGCUAUCGCGUUGGGAUGGGCCCAGUUAGGAUUAGCUAGUUGGUAAGGUAACGGCUUACCAAGGCGACGAUCCUUAGCUGGUUUGAGAGGAUGAUCAGCCACACUGGGACUGAGACACGGCCCAGACUCCUACGGGAGGCAGCAGUGGGGAAUAUUGCACAAUGGGGGAGACCCUGAUGCAGCCAUGCCGCGUGUGUGAAGAAGGCCUUCGGGUUGUAAAGCACUUUCAGCAGUGAGGAAGGUAGUGUACUUAAUACGUGCAUUGCUUGACGUUAGCUGCAGAAGAAGCACCGGCUAACUCCGUGCCAGCAGCCGCGGUAAUACGGAGGGUGCGAGCGUUAAUCGGAAUCACUGGGCGUAAAGCGCAUGCAGGCGGUUUGUUAAGUCAGAUGUGAAAGCCCGGGGCUCAACCUCGGAACCGCAUUUGAAACUGGCAGGCUAGAGUCUUGUAGAGGGGGGUAGAAUUUCAGGUGUAGCGGUGAAAUGCGUAGAGAUCUGAAGGAAUACCAGUGGCGAAGGCGGCCCCCUGGACAAAGACUGACGCUCAGAUGCGAAAGCGUGGGUAGCAAACAGG
RNAcentral lists this ribosomal RNA (771 nucleotides) under Salinivibrio costicola. Its description in RNAcentral is "bacterial SSU rRNA". It matches the Rfam family "Bacterial small subunit ribosomal RNA", at positions 28 to 776 of the family's 1533-position model. Lineage: Bacteria; Pseudomonadati; Pseudomonadota; Gammaproteobacteria; Vibrionales; Vibrionaceae. The record is from RNAcentral.